Molecule: ribosomal RNA, 253 nt
Filed under: uncultured bacterium
Lineage: Bacteria
Description: partial 16S ribosomal RNA
Rfam family: Bacterial small subunit ribosomal RNA
Source: RNAcentral
UACGGAGGGUGCAAGCGUUAUCCGGAAUCACUGGGUUUAAAGGGUGCGUAGGCGGGAAGAUAAGUCAAGGGUGAAAGCUCGUCGCUUAACGACGGAAUUGCCUUUGAUACUGUUUUUCUUGAAAUAUGUUGAGGUUGGCGGAAUGAGACAUGUAGCGGUGAAAUGCUUAGAUAUGUCUUAGAACACCGAUUGCGAAGGCAGCUGACUGGACAUUAUUUGACGCUGAGGCACGAAAGCGUGGGGAUCAAACAGG